RNAcentral lists this long non-coding RNA (285 nucleotides) under Lathyrus oleraceus (garden pea). Its description in RNAcentral is "Pisum sativum (pea) long non-coding RNA (PSAT_LNC031222)". The record is from RNAcentral. Lineage: Eukaryota; Viridiplantae; Streptophyta; Magnoliopsida; Fabales; Fabaceae.
UUGGUAUAACACCAAGACAUAUCAAAGGCACAUACAACAGAAAUAAGUAGUAGAAACCCAACCUCACAGAAAAAGAUAGAGAGAAAUAAACUCUCACACUCCAAGCCUCCUUUAGAAACAAAAUGUCAAGACAUUUUGUUUGACAUCACAACAAACACACAAUAUCCUAAGCACAAACGAAAUUCUAUGAAAUAAAAUGUCAGGACAUUCUGUCUGAUAUCAUAGCAAGUACACAACAGCUUAAGCACAAACAAAAUUCUCUAAAACAAAAUGUCAAGACAUUCU